CAUCAAAAACAUUAGCAUAUUUCAUAUUAUAGAUAAUACCUAUUGAUUUUUCGAGACCAUGAGGAUGGAAGGAGUGGCAUAAAGCAAUUAUUGGUUUAGAUCGCAGAAUUCAACUGUACGUACACGGAGGACUACAUCCUUUCUGGGAACAACUACGUAGCUUUGAACUUGCGUGUAACAACCAACCACGGUAACGGAGCGUAUUAAGUAUCCAAUUAAUUAUUAUAUUUGUGAGAUAUUUUAACUUUAUAAAAUAUUUAAAUUUAUCUUGAGAUCACGACGACGGCGGAGAAAAUGGUCGGCGACCGUCGAUUUAAGACUGAUCUACGAAAACAUUGCAAUUAUUCAGACCGCAAGUAAUGCGUAUACCGAUAAUGUGUAAUUGGUCCACCAUCGUGUACCAAUGAUAUGAACUUGUCGACUACGGGUCACGUUGUACGAAUGUAAUGAGUAUUCCGAGAGCGGUUGACCGUGAUAGUUUCCGUCGCCGGCCCGUCAAGGAGACUUAACGUGAUAACGUGCGCAGGAACUUGUGUCUGGUGACGCACACAUACCAGCCAGACAGGACAAUAAGCGGUUUACAUUGUCAAUUAUUUUCUCUCCUCAUUAUGGAGUAGGCAAAAGUUGUGCGAGACAAAAAUGAUACACAGGAAUGAUAUCAUUCGAUUAUACUAUGAUAAUAACUGAUAAGUAUUGUUAUGCAUGGACUUCUAUUAAAUGGCGCGUAGUGCCCCGAUUUAACGAUUAUCGCUUGUAAGUAUAAUAAUGUACACGCGAUUGUGUUCGUAUUACCUAUGUGUACGUUGUACAAUAGUACAUUCUCGCAAUGAUAUUAUCAUUUAUAAUUUGAACAAAAUUGAACAUUUUUAUUUAAACUUAAUAUUUUAAAAAUUAUGAAUACCACAUAAAUAAUCAGCAUCACAUUUUUUAAAUAAAUCAUCGUCAAAGUGUCGUUAUGAUAACAUUACCUAUAUCAUAUUAGCUGCACCCGUACGCACGCCUAUAAUUAACGCGAACCUCACGGUAUUGGAAUUAUUAUACUAUGUUACUAUUAUAUUAUUAUUAUUAUAGGUAACGAUUUUAACGUUAGCUUUGCUCUGCAGCGUCUAUCGUCGGCGUGUAAUAACAGUGCGGUGCUCGAAUCGCCGCUUAUAAAUACGGCGGCCGGUUUCUGGUAUGGAAAAUUCCAAACGAUGAUGAGUCGAUAUGUUGAUGCGAGCGGCAUGGCAGUUGCUGCGUUAUGAAGAGGAUGGUCGGGGGCGAGAGUCGCGAGUCAUUAACUCUGCAAACGCGACCGGUUGUCCGCCGAGUCAAGGUCGCCGCCGUCAGACCAUUCUGAUCUACUCCCGCACGAACAUACUACAACAGAGAUGUUUGUUAUUAUAUUAUAAUUCGUAUAUCAACUGCAAUACGGUCACCGAUCCCACCCACCAACGAGCGUGAAAAAUGAUUUAAGCAAACUAUACAUAUACUCUCUGCAAAAGUACAAGUAUAAACGAACACGAAGACCGAAGAAAAAUCUAAAACCAAAGUAAAAUCAUAUAUACACGAGUCUGCAAGGUUGUCUAAGCUGCUGCAGGUUUUGGUUUUCAAAAAGUUCAAAUUAAAAGUUACUGAAAUAAAAUAAAGAUAUUCUUCGUCAGUGAUUUGGGUGUUUUAUUUAAGUUCAAUGGAAAUUCGUCAACGGAGCAAUUAUUCCGCUUAAAUGCGAUACCUGCAACAGACGUGGAAUGGAUCAAUAUACAACGAUAAUGUCAUGUGGCUCGACGUCACAAACUGCGGCUGACGAACGAAUAUCGCGACAUCUAAUGUGAUUUAGGAGGAUAAUUUAUUCUACUCUCAUGGUAUACCUCGUUGGUUUUAAGAUAUUUUUGCAAGACGUAACGUGAGUUUCUGCUGAGACUAUUCUUAGAGUAACUCAUGCCGCUGUCCGAACUCCAAAGCUAUAGCUGUAUUAUAC
Aphis gossypii (cotton aphid) is the source of this 1960-nucleotide long non-coding RNA. RefSeq lists it as uncharacterized. NCBI's taxonomy places the organism in Eukaryota, Metazoa, Arthropoda, Insecta, Hemiptera, Aphididae. The transcript is spliced from 8 exons. The record is from RefSeq and is a predicted model, not a curated record.